Molecule: long non-coding RNA, 399 nt
Filed under: Heterocephalus glaber (naked mole-rat)
Lineage: Eukaryota; Metazoa; Chordata; Mammalia; Rodentia; Bathyergidae
Description: lncRNA (ENSHGLG00100045482.1)
Source: RNAcentral
GACCUGUGUGCCCAGGUUGAGCACCGAGCACCGCUCAGGAAGGAGGGGAGCACCAGAUCAGGGUCAACUGUGCUGGAGCUAAGGAGCCGGAGCCUUAGUAGACCUGCCUGGGCUGGACCACACUGCCAAGGCCCAGAGGUUUUAAGAAGACCUCUCUUUGCUGGAACGGCACCAUGAGACAAGAAUUGAAGCUCCAAGGUGUCCUUGACCAUCCAAGAAGGGCUGUGCUAGCUGCAGCUUGCAGGAAAGAUCAGGGAGUCUUCCUUUGGGUUCUCCUGAAAGCAGACUGUGAAACAAGGAUUGAGGGCAAAUUGUUCUCUGAGAGGAUGCAUGAUGGAGGGAAACACCCAGACUGGAAGCUCAGCAGAAGAACUGGGAGUAGCAUGGGAAGAGUCUGAG